RNAcentral lists this small RNA (212 nucleotides) under Phascolarctos cinereus (koala). Its description in RNAcentral is "7SK RNA (ENSPCIG00000010663.2)". It matches the Rfam family "7SK RNA", at positions 1 to 235 of the family's 331-position model. From Rfam's summary of the family: 7SK was discovered as an abundant small nuclear RNA in the mid-70s but a possible function has only recently been suggested. Two independent studies have found that 7SK RNA binds the CDK9/cyclin T complex (known as elongation factor P-TEFb). Lineage: Eukaryota; Metazoa; Chordata; Mammalia; Diprotodontia; Phascolarctidae. The record is from RNAcentral.
GGAUGUGAGGGCCAUCUGGCUGCUACAUCUGUCACCCCAUUGACCACCAGGGUUGAUUUGGCAAAUCUGGCUGGCUAAGCGGGUGUCUCCUUCUUCCUUCACCCUCCAUGUGAAUCCCUCCAAAACCUAAGCACUCAGGAGGCAGAGCCGAGAUGGCAAAGUAUAGGCAGGGACUCACCUGAGCUCUCCCCCAAACCCUUCCAAAUACCUUU